RNAcentral lists this small nuclear RNA (107 nucleotides) under Suricata suricatta (meerkat). The record is from RNAcentral. Lineage: Eukaryota; Metazoa; Chordata; Mammalia; Carnivora; Herpestidae.
GUGCUCGCUUCGGCAGCACAGAUACUAAAAUUGGAACGAUACAGAGAAGAUUAGCGUGGCCCCUGCGCAAGGGUGACACGCAAAUUCGUGAAGAAGAGUUAAUACCU